Molecule: ribosomal RNA, 505 nt
Filed under: uncultured bacterium
Lineage: Bacteria
Description: partial 16S ribosomal RNA
Rfam family: Bacterial small subunit ribosomal RNA
Source: RNAcentral
GACGAACGCUGGCGGCGUGCCUAAUACAUGCAAGUAGAACGCACAGUUUAUACCGUAGCUUGCUACACCAUAGACUGUAAGUUGCGAACGGGUGAGUAACGCGUAGGUAACCUGCCUGGUAGCGGGGGAUAACUAUUGGAAACGAUAGCUAAUACCGCAUAAUAUUAAUUAUUGCAUGAUAAUUAAUUGAAAGGUGCAAUUGCACCACUACCAGAUGGACCUGCGUUGUAUUAGCUAGUAGGUGAGGUAACGGCUCACCUAGGCGACGAUACAUAGCCGACCUGAGAGGGUGAUCGGCCACACUGGGACUGAGACACGGCCCAGACUCCUACGGGAGGCAGCAGUAGGGAAUCUUCGGCAAUGGACGAAAGUCUGACCGAGCAACGCCGCGGGAGUGAAGAAGGUUUUCGGAUCGUAAAGCUCUGUUGUAAGAGAAGAACGGGUGUGAGAGUGGAAAGUUCACACUGUGACGGUAGCUGACCAGAAAGGGACGGCUAACUACGUG